RNAcentral lists this small RNA (320 nucleotides) under Histoplasma capsulatum. Its description in RNAcentral is "hypothetical RNA". The record is from RNAcentral. RNAcentral also lists the same sequence under 1 other name. Lineage: Eukaryota; Fungi; Ascomycota; Eurotiomycetes; Onygenales; Ajellomycetaceae.
AAGCUUGGGCGCCUGACUCUCGAAGCGAUUGAUAUUCUUUUCUCAUGGCGGUUUCUUCUUCACCCAUUUUUUCAACCAGACAUCUCUGUCUGGGUUUUCGUUGUAGGCAAAUGUUUUCACCCCACUAAUAUUAACACCAAUUUAGUCCUUUGCGGGCUAUAUUAAUGUGCAAGCAAAUAAUGGUAUGGUUAAUUUAAUCUUGCUCCAUUUGUGGUUUGUAGAGGAUGUGAUUGCGCCGGGUUGAGAGAUAUCAGGAAGUGCAAUAACCAAGUAGUUAACCUAGUAAAUAACACUUAUUUUGGAUACUGAACUUAAUCAGC